Molecule: ribosomal RNA, 562 nt
Filed under: uncultured Acidobacteriota bacterium
Lineage: Bacteria; Pseudomonadati; Acidobacteriota
Description: bacterial SSU rRNA
Rfam family: Bacterial small subunit ribosomal RNA
Source: RNAcentral
ACUCCUACGGGAGGCAGCAGUGGGGAAUUUUGCGCAAUGGGGGCAACCCUGAUCCAGCAAUGCCGCGUGAGUGAUGAAGGCCUUAGGGUUGUAAAGCUCUUUCGCCCGCGACGAUUAUGACGGUACCGGAAGAAGAAGCACCGGCUAACUCUGUGCCAGCAGCCGCGGUAAUACAGAGGGUGCAAGCGUUGUUCGGAAUUAUUGGGCGUAAAGGGCGCGUAGGCGGUGCGGUAAGUCCGCAGUGAAAUCUCUGGGCUCAACUCAGAGUCUGCUGUGGAAACUGCCGUGCUUGAGUGUGGGAGAGGUGAGUGGAAUUCCCGGUGUAGCGGUGAAAUGCGUAGAGAUCGGGAGGAACAUCAGUGGCGAAGGCGGCCAUCUGGAUCAACACUGACGCUGAGGCACGAAAGCGUGGGGAGCAAACAGGAUUAGAUACCCUGGUAGUCCACGCCCUAAACGAUGCAUACUUGGUGUGAGCCAUUCAGUUGGUUCGUGCCGGAGUUAACGCGUUAAGUAUGCCGCCUGGGGAGUACGGUCGCAAGGCUGAAACUUAAAGGAAUUGACG